CAGCCGCCACGGUAAUACGGAGGGUGCAAGCGUUAAUCGGAAUUACUGGGCGUAAAGCGCACGCAGGCGGUCUGACAAGUCAGAUGUGAAAUCCCCGGGCUUAACCUGGGAACUGCAUUUGAAACCGUCAGGCUGGAGUCUUGUAGAGGGGGGUAGAAUUCCAGGUGUAGCGGUGAAAUGCGUAGAGAUCUGGAGGAAUACCGGUGGCGAAGGCGGCCCCCUGGACAAAGACUGACGCUCAGGUGCGAAAGCGUGGGGAGCAAACAGGAUUAGAUACCCCUGUAGUCCCUGUCUCUUAUAC
This 301-nucleotide ribosomal RNA is filed under the name uncultured bacterium. RNAcentral's name for it is "partial 16S ribosomal RNA". It matches the Rfam family "Bacterial small subunit ribosomal RNA", at positions 509 to 807 of the family's 1533-position model. The record is from RNAcentral.